Dreissena polymorpha is the source of this 1210-nucleotide long non-coding RNA. RefSeq lists it as uncharacterized. NCBI's taxonomy places the organism in Eukaryota, Metazoa, Mollusca, Bivalvia, Myida, Dreissenidae. The record is from RefSeq and is a predicted model, not a curated record. The transcript is spliced from 2 exons.
CUAUCGCAACAUUCCGCAUAAAAACGGGAGGUUGAUGUAGUGAAACAAGUAUGUGUUACAACCAACAAGAGAAGCAAGGAAAUUAACUCUAUCUGCUUUUUAUGCCUCAACACGCACUACAUUUCCCUGUGUCAAACGCUGUCGAGACACGAUAAAUAAACAAUAAUUCAAGUUUACAACGGAUAUGUGUAUGUGUAUGUGGCCAUUAGUGGAUGCAUGUUAUACGUUACAUGUAAGGAAGUGUAGCUGUUUUAAUCGAAGAAAUCAGUUUUUUACAUUUUGAGAAGGCAAAUAUAAUUGUCUUAUCCCAAAGGGACUCCACAAAUUAAAGAACUUCCGGUUUGCUAGCAGACGAUAAUUUCCAGACAUGGCGCAGUGCGGGUGGUUUUGGAGCAUAAUCUGGUUUCUCAUUUUAUUUAUUUUUGGAUUUCCGAUAGGAUUCUUGUGUGCGAUUCUAUAUGUGCUAGUCAGCCCAUUUUGCGCGUGUUGUAACGGCUGUGCGGAAGUAGAAAAUUUACUAAUGCGAGGAUUACAAUUACCAAAGACUUGUGCCCAAAAGAUGGUGGCCGGUAGCUCAAUGUGUUGAGUGAAAUAUUCGAAUUAGCGAAUGGAUUAUGGAAGACAAAAAUCACGGCGUUCGACGAGAUAAUAAACAUCUGCUAUUGUUGCUUAACAAGUUUUGGCCUUGUUCUAUAUGUAUAUUUUAUGUGUAGCUUUUUAUGCCGUGAGGUCGACAAGAGGCUUGAUCGAUUGAUCGAUCAGUCACAUACGAUGCAUAGAGAUGAUGAAUAAGCAAGAAUCUGGGGCGAGAAAUAUGAUGGUAAAAGGAAACCUUUCCCGCAAGAUGUUUAGACAUGGAUACAUGCUUCAGUGGUUACAUCCUGUUCAGUAUAUUUGGACGAUGCAGAGAAUAACGGUGAUAUGCACUCCCAUCAGUCGUGCAAUAUGACUAAUCGAGCUUCCGUUAUAGUGUGUGGCGCAAUAUGUUUGUUCUAUAUAUCUUAAUCUUAUAUUUUGAUAUUAACUUUUAUGUAUAGAAGCAAAAUGUAUGCAUUGUAUUCCAAAUGUAUUGCAUAUUUUAAUCCCUUACUAUCGCAUAAUUAUGUUCAAUAGCGUUUCAGUGCAUUAUGUUAACAACUAUGUACAUAUAGUUUGAUAGGCUUUAUACAUUAAUUGCAAUAAAAACAUCGAGUAUUAAAAGUGUUAAAUG